CCUACGGGUGGCAGCAGUGAGGAAUAUUGGUCAAUGGGCUUACGCCUGAACCAGCGACGCCGCGUGAGUGAAGAAGUAUUUCGGUACGUAAAGCUCUAUCAGCAGGAAAGAAAAUGACGGUACCUGACUAAGAAGCCCCGGCUAACUACGUGCCAGCAGCCGCGGUAAUACGUAGGGGGCAAGCGUUAUCCGGAAUUACUGGGUGUAAAGGGAGCGUAGACGGCUGUGCAAGUCUGGAGUGAAAGGCGGGGGCCCAACCCCCGGACUGCUCUGGAAACUGUAUGGCUGGAGUGCAGGAGAGGUAAGCGGAAUUCCUAGUGUAGCGGUGAAAUGCGUAGAUAUUAGGAGGAACACCAGUGGCGAAGGCGGCUUACUGGACUGUAACUGACGUUGAGGCUCGAAAGCGUGGGGAGCAAACAGGAUUAGAUACCCCAGUAGUC
This 440-nucleotide ribosomal RNA is filed under the name uncultured bacterium. RNAcentral describes it as "partial 16S ribosomal RNA". It matches the Rfam family "Bacterial small subunit ribosomal RNA", at positions 338 to 795 of the family's 1533-position model. The record is from RNAcentral.